GUGAGUGAGGGAGCGUGAGUGUGUGUUUGUUCGUUCGUUGGUUGCCUUGUGUGCCAAAGGCUCCUCUACUAUAAUGUAAGAAAAAUUGAAGAGCAAAGUGUGUCCUGCAGGAAGCUAAACUGAGAGUGAGUGCUAGAGAGAGAGAGAGAGAGAGAGAGAGAGUAAGAGCGCCAACGUGUGGAGAGUAUAGAGCCUUUGAGGUGAAAUCUAAAGAGGGCCAGGUGGAGAGCGAAGCCAACCAGCCUUUAUAUUACACAUAUUUUGAUAUUUUUGUGAAAAAAUUUUUGUGAAUGAGUGUGUCAAAAACAAUCUAAAUCGUGUGUAGGCAUGGUAUCAUCGACGAGCCAAAUACGACAACAACGACGACGACAACUACGACUAACGGUAAUAAUUACACACAUUCACACUCCUCCUUACCCCAAAAAAGGAUAACAAAAAGGCCAACCGAAACGAAAAGAAAAAAAUAUACAAGAAAGCAAACAGCAAAAAAUACAUGCAAAUACAAAUUAUUCCAAAAAGUGCAAGGCUAAAAUCAAAGUGUAAAAUGGCAUUUUAAUAAUUCUCCUUUCUUUUUCCAAUAUCAUCAUCAUCAACAGCCUGAAAAAGCAACGCGUAGUGAAAAAGUGUAUAAACCCAAUCGAAAACGAAGAAACGAAGAAAUCAACCAGGAAGUCUUUGAAGCAAACAAAUAUUUAUAAGAAAUGUAAAAAUAGAAAAAAUGUGAAUGUGAAAGCAGUUUACCUUUUAUCAUCCCCCCCAUGAGAAAAGAGAAAAGUCAAAAAGAAUUUCAUGUUUGUGCAAACUCAAUGAAACAAGUGUCCAACAUUCCCCAAGUUAACGAAAAUCAUUGCAAUAACACCCGAUGCAAUAACCCCCGUAGAAUCGAGAAUUCCCUAAUCCUUAGCCCAAUAUCAGAACCAGAACCUCGGCAAUAACCAAAGGAAGAAGUUGGAAAAUUUUCUUUACUUUUACCAAAAACGGAGUCAUAUAUCCUUAAAAGAAGAGAAGAACAAAAAAAAACAACAUCGGCUCGACCUACUACCAUAUAUCUUCUUCUUCUAGUUCUUUUUGCUCGACGUUAUUCAUGCAAUCUCCUCCUUCUCCAGCUAUAUAUGAACGAAGAAAGCAGCCAGCAGAGCACCGAGCGAGUUGUAUCGUGAGUGAGUUCAGGUCAAGAGGAACCAUCCUGCAAAUUACCGUCCGGUAACGAUGUGCUGCGCGCUUUCCACAGUUAUGGAAACAUGGUCAACCACAACUUUAUGAAUUUCUUGGAGUCCAGUGAUAUUCUUUCCGAUUAACAGCAAUGAAAAUCACACGAAUCGGACCUCAAUGUUCCAGCCUGUAUGAUACUCACAGCUAUCCCGUGCCGGUCGUCGCAUUUAGUGUGGAUAACAACGUUUCAUCGAGCUUUUUUAACCAUCGAUAUGAGUUCCGACUUGUUCAGCAAAGGUCGGGCGAAUUACCAUAAGUAUAACCGGCUAAUUACGAUAUGCACCGCGCUUUUCAAAGUUAGGAAAGCAUGGUCAACGAUAGUAGGGUAUUCAACUUUAUUGUUUCUUUUCCUCGGAAUGUGGGAAGCGUGAUGUCGUUUUAUCACAACUUUUUUAGUGUUCGUUCCAUGGAGAUACGUCUUCCUAUUCCUGAAGUAAGGACUUUUGUCGGGAUAUACGAUUUUCUAAUAACGUUACAGGGAAACUCGUUUUUUGCCCUGGCUAAUCACUUUUCCACCAACUACGACCUCGAGAA
Stomoxys calcitrans (stable fly) is the source of this 1746-nucleotide long non-coding RNA. RefSeq lists it as uncharacterized. The record is from RefSeq and is a predicted model, not a curated record. The transcript is spliced from 2 exons. NCBI's taxonomy places the organism in Eukaryota, Metazoa, Arthropoda, Insecta, Diptera, Muscidae.